GGGCUUACUUAGGCAGCACAUAUACUAAAAUUGGAAUGACACAAAGAUUAGCAUGGUCCCUGAGCAAGAAUGACAUGCAAAUUUGUGAAGUGUUCCAUAUAGAA
Small nuclear RNA from Homo sapiens (human), 104 nucleotides. NCBI's taxonomy places the organism in Eukaryota, Metazoa, Chordata, Mammalia, Primates, Hominidae. The record is from Ensembl.